UAAUACGGGGGAUGCAAGUGUUAUCCGGAAUAAUUGGGCGUAAAGCGUCUGUAGGUGGUUGACCAAGUCUGUUGUUAAAAAUCAGGGCUUAACCCUGAUCCGGCAACAGAAACUAGUAAACUUGAGUACGGUAGGGGCAGAGGGAAUUCUCGGUGUAGUGGUGAAAUACGUAGAUAUCGAGAAGAACACCAAUAGCGAAAGCACUCUGCUGGGCCGAAACUGACAUUGAGAGACGAAAGCUAGGGGAGCAAAAGGGAUUAGAUACCCCUGUAGUCCUAGCCGUAAACGAUGGAUACUAAGUGCUGUGCGACUCAAAACGUCCAGUGCUGUAGCUAACGCGUGAAGUAUCCCGCCUGGGGAGUAUGCUCGCAAGAGUG
This 377-nucleotide ribosomal RNA is filed under the name uncultured bacterium. Its description in RNAcentral is "bacterial SSU rRNA". It matches the Rfam family "Bacterial small subunit ribosomal RNA", at positions 521 to 896 of the family's 1533-position model. The record is from RNAcentral.